CCUGUGAGCUGCCCAUCCAUCAGCUCAGAUCUGAUGGGGUCCGCUGUGUCCAUCGGUGACCACUUAACCAUCCGGUGUACCUCCGAAAGUGGGACACUGCCUAUAAACCUCAUGCUAUACCGUCACCACCACCACCUCCUGAGGAACACAACAGUCGUUGACUCCAGGACAGCCACUUUCCAUGUCACCAUGCCACCUGAGGGGGAGGGCGCUGUGUACUCCUGCUGUGCUGCAAAUGCCGUUGCCCACGUUAUCAACUGUAGUGAGUUGCUCGCCCUCACUGUGUCAGAUUGUUAUUCUAUUGGACAACUAUUUCGCCUGUGUCUUGCAGCAGUUGUUUUGGUUCUGCUUGCAAUCUUUCUUGCGUUGGAACUGAGAAAUAAAUCCUAGGAACCGAAGAGUAUAAAUGCUCCAACUGCGUCUCGGGGCAACAUCACAGACAGAACAAUCAAUUCCUUCAGUGGCUCAAUAAUUCAACAAGGACAUUCGCUCUGGUCCAUCACAAGGAUACAACAAAAGGAUUCCUCAUCAGCUGCAAGGUACUAGAUUCCGAGAAUGGAUGUAUAUUGACUCAUCAACAACAAAUAAAAUGCAAAAUAAAAACUGUGUGUCCAGACAUACCCCAAUCCCAUGAACAAAGAUAAAAGAAAAUGAGAAUUGUGACAAAAGUGAACUGAGAAAUUGCAUUUGUUCAGCAAGGGUGUAGCCUGAUGACUGUGGUCAGUGAAUCUAAUGACAGGUAUGUGCACAAUGUAUGCAACGUACAAUGUACGGAUAUAUGUUGUGUUGGGACCAUUAUUGUUUUUCUCCAUUUGGAGCUGUGAGCUGAAUUUCAACAUUGAAUUUGGAACUUUGAUCAGGAGUUUGCUUCUAUUUCAUUUUUAAAAGAGCAAGAAACUUAUGUUUGCAUUUGGAGAUUGGUCUGGAAAUAUAAUUG
Molecule: long non-coding RNA, 937 nt
Organism: Rhincodon typus (whale shark)
Lineage: Eukaryota; Metazoa; Chordata; Chondrichthyes; Orectolobiformes; Rhincodontidae
Exons: 3
Source: RefSeq, a predicted model, not a curated record